This 562-nucleotide ribosomal RNA is filed under the name uncultured bacterium. RNAcentral describes it as "partial 16S ribosomal RNA". It matches the Rfam family "Bacterial small subunit ribosomal RNA", at positions 355 to 912 of the family's 1533-position model. The record is from RNAcentral.
UGGGGAAUUUUGGACAAUGGGCGAAAGCCUGAUCCAGCCAUGCCGCGUGCAGGAUGAAGGCCUUCGGGUUGUAAACUGCUUUUGUACGGAACGAAAAGACUCUGGUUAAUACCUGGGGUCCAUGACGGUACCGUAAGAAUAAGCACCGGCUAACUACGUGCCAGCAGCCGCGGUAAUACGUAGGGUGCAAGCGUUAAUCGGAAUUACUGGGCGUAAAGCGUGCGCAGGCGGUUAUAUAAGACAGAUGUGAAAUCCCCGGGCUCAACCUGGGAACUGCAUUUGUGACUGUAUAGCUAGAGUACGGCAGAGGGGGGAUGGAAUUUCCGCGUGUAGCAGUGAAAUGCGUAGAUAUGCGGAGGAACACCGAUGGCGAAGGCAAUCCCCUGGGCCUGUACUGACGCUCAUGCACGAAAAGCGUGGGGGAGCAAACAGGAUUAGAUACCCUGUAGUCCACGCCCNAAACGAUGUCAACUGGUUGUUGGGGUCUUUCACUGACUCAGUAACGAAGGCUAACGCGUGAAGUUGACCGCCUGGGGGUAGGUACGGGCCCGCAAAGGGUUUG